GAAAUGCGAACCAAGCAGCCGGCACAAGCUGGCAUAAGACUUGGAGCUGGCCUUGGCAACGAGGUCAUGCA
Propionimicrobium lymphophilum ACS-093-V-SCH5 is the source of this 71-nucleotide small RNA. It matches the Rfam family "Transposase-2 RNA". NCBI's taxonomy places the organism in Bacteria, Bacillati, Actinomycetota, Actinomycetes, Propionibacteriales, Propionibacteriaceae. The record is from Rfam.